GGGGAAUAUUGCGCAAUGGGGGGAACCCUGACGCAGCCAUGCCGCGUGAAUGAAGAAGGCCUUCGGGUUGUAAAGUUCUUUCGGUAUUGAGGAAGGUUGAUGUGUUAAUAGCACAUCAAAUUGACGUUAAAUACAGAAGAAGCACCGGCUAACUCCGUGCCAGCAGCCGCGGUAAUACGGAGGGUGCGAGCGUUAAUCGGAAUAACUGGGCGUAAAGGGCACGCAGGCGGUUAUUUAAGUGAGGUGUGAAAGCCCCGGGCUUAACCUGGGAAUUGCAUUUCAGACUGGGUAACUAGAGUACUUUAGGGAGGGGUAGAAUUCCACGUGUAGCGGUGAAAUGCGUAGAGAUGUGGAGGAAUACCGAAGGCGAAGGCAGCCCCUUGGGAAUGUACUGACGCUCAUGUGCGAAAGCGUGGGGAGCAAACAGGAUUAGAUACCCUGGUAGUCCACGCUGUAAACGAUGUCGAUUUGGGGGUUGAGCUUUAAGCUUGGCGCCCGUAGCUAACGUGAUAAAUCGACCGCCUGGGGAGUACGGCCGCAAGGUUA
RNAcentral lists this ribosomal RNA (546 nucleotides) under uncultured bacterium. RNAcentral's name for it is "bacterial SSU rRNA". It matches the Rfam family "Bacterial small subunit ribosomal RNA", at positions 356 to 896 of the family's 1533-position model. The record is from RNAcentral.